GACGAACGCUGGCGGCGUGCCUAAUACAUGCAAGUCGAACGCACUCUCGUUUAGAUUGAAGGAGCUUGCUCCUGAUUGAUAAACAUUUGAGUGAGUGGCGGACGGGCGAGUAACACGUGGGUAACCUGCCCUAAAGUGGGGGAUAACAUUUGGAAACAGAUGCUAAUACCGCAUAAAACCUAACACCGCAUGGUGUAGGGUUGAAAGAUGGUUUCGGCUAUCACUUUAGGAUGGACCCGCGGUGCAUUAGUUAGUUGGUGAGGUAAAGGCUCACCAAGACCGUGAUGCAUAGCCGACCUGAGAGGGUAAUCGGCCACACUGGGACUGAGACACGGCCCAGACUCCUACGGGAGGCAGCAGUAGGGAAUCUUCCACAUGGACGAAAGUCUGAUGGAGCAACGCCGCGUGAGUGAAGAAGGUUUCGGAUCGUAAAACUCUAGUUGUUGGAGAAGAAUGUAAUCUGAUAGUAACUGAUCAGGUA
RNAcentral lists this ribosomal RNA (481 nucleotides) under uncultured bacterium. RNAcentral's name for it is "bacterial SSU rRNA". It matches the Rfam family "Bacterial small subunit ribosomal RNA", at positions 28 to 489 of the family's 1533-position model. The record is from RNAcentral.